UGGGGAAUAUUGGACAAUGGGCGCAAGCCUGAUCCAGCCAUGCCGCGUGAGUGAUGGAGGCCCUAGGGUUGUAAAGCUCUUUCACCGGUGAAGAUAAUGACGGUAACCGGAGAAGAAGCCCCGGCUAACUUCGUGCCAGCAGCCGCGGUAAUACGAAGGGGGCUAGCGUUGUUCGGAUUUACUGGGCGUAAAGCGCACGUAGGCGGACUUUUAAGUCAGGGGUGAAAUCCCGGGGCUCAACCCCGGAACUGCCUUUGAUACUGGAAGUCUUGAGUAUGGUAGAGGUGAGUGGAAUUCCGAGUGUAGAGGUGAAAUUCGUAGAUAUUCGGAGGAACACCAGUGGCGAAGGCGGCUCACUGGACCAUUACUGACGCUGAGGUGCGAAAGCGUGGGGAGCAAACA
This 402-nucleotide ribosomal RNA is filed under the name Pseudomonas sp. RNAcentral's name for it is "partial 16S ribosomal RNA". It matches the Rfam family "Bacterial small subunit ribosomal RNA", at positions 355 to 774 of the family's 1533-position model. Lineage: Bacteria; Pseudomonadati; Pseudomonadota; Gammaproteobacteria; Pseudomonadales; Pseudomonadaceae. The record is from RNAcentral. RNAcentral also lists the same sequence under 3 other names.